GACGACUUGGGCGCCGUCGGCAUCUACGGCAUUGCGAGGGUCGGCAAAAUCGCGUCCCUCAAGGUCGCAGCCGAGGGAGGCAAUGCGUUCGAGUCCGGCCUGAUCGUCAAGACCAACAGGGGCAUACUGUACGUCGACGAGGUCAACCUGCUGGACGACCACCUCGUCGAUGUGCUGCUGGAUUCCGCUGCGCCGGCAUGGAACACAGUGGAGAGGAAGGGUAUCUUCAUAUCCCACACUGUUCGCUUUAUCCUCAUUCCAUUGUAGAUUUUUCCCGUCUGUGGUAUGAUACGUCCAAUGCCCUGGCCGAGUUUCACAUCAAGCGUUAAUUACCGUAUGAAUUUGGAUGCUCGUUUUGUUUGGAAACCACCAUGGUCACUUCAAUGGUUCACUAGAGCUUCUAUCACUUUGCAUGAGUUACUUAUAUGGUUGCGUAUUUCAACAAUUAGUGUUAACAAUUUAUUGGCACAAACUGGAUUGGCAGCAACGAGAGCUUUGGUGUGUGUCCGUGCAUGUCGAGGGCAGCUCCUAUUUUACUACAACCACAUAUAUUGGGUCACAGUAAUUGUGUAUGACGGUUGGAUGAUCACAUGGCCAUCUUUCACAUGGAGGUUGCAUGAUGCAUUGUAUGAAAUUUCAGAUGGAGAUAGGAUCAGUGGUACGGCUCUAAACUUCUGCUCAGAUAACUUGUCAUAUGAUGUUGGUGCCGUCUCUGAACAAACACAACGUGGUUUCUUGUCAGUAAGGUUUGAUGUGUUACAGGAUAAAUACAGAAUGGUUGAUUGUCCAUUUAUGUUCACCAGGUCUAAUGUUCAGAGCGUUGUGCAGGAUAAAGGUUUGUUGUCUUUUUUCUGGGAUAGCCU
RNAcentral lists this unclassified non-coding RNA (863 nucleotides) under Zea mays. RNAcentral's name for it is "misc RNA Zm00001eb193880". The record is from RNAcentral. Lineage: Eukaryota; Viridiplantae; Streptophyta; Magnoliopsida; Poales; Poaceae.